UAAUGAAUAGUUUAAUUAAAACGAUAGGUUGUGGUUCUAUAGAUGGAUUUAUUUACCUUCAUUAG
RNAcentral lists this transfer RNA (65 nucleotides) under Acuticosta chinensis. RNAcentral describes it as "tRNA-His". Lineage: Eukaryota; Metazoa; Mollusca; Bivalvia; Unionida; Unionidae. The record is from RNAcentral.